This 434-nucleotide ribosomal RNA is filed under the name uncultured Clostridium sp. Its description in RNAcentral is "partial 16S ribosomal RNA". It matches the Rfam family "Bacterial small subunit ribosomal RNA", at positions 341 to 792 of the family's 1533-position model. The record is from RNAcentral. Lineage: Bacteria; Bacillati; Bacillota; Clostridia; Eubacteriales; Clostridiaceae.
ACGGGAGGCAGCAGUGGGGAAUAUUGCACAAUGGGGGAAACCCUGAUGCAGCGACGCCGCGUGAGUGAAGAAGUAUUUCGGUAUGUAAAGCUCUAUCAGCAGGAAAGAAAAUGACGGUACCUGACUAAGAAGCCCCGGCUAACUACGUGCCAGCAGCCGCGGUAAUACGUAGGGAGCAAGCGUUAUCCGGAAUUAUUGGGUGUAAAGGGUGCGUAGACGGGAAUUUAAGUUAGUUGUGAAAUCCCUCGGCUUAACUGAGGAACUGCAACUAAAACUGAAUUUCUUGAGUGCAGGAGAGGAAAGCGGAAUUCCUAGUGUAGCGGUGAAAUGCGUAGAUAUUAGGAAGAACACCAGUGGCGAAGGCGGCUUUCUGGACUGUAACUGACGUUGAGGCACGAAAGUGUGGGGAGCAAACAGGAUUAGAUACCCUGGUA